CGAAGCUCUCCUUGCCCGGAUUGUGCAGCUUGUACAGCAAGUUGAGACACGUUGGCACUGCUCUGUCUGCACGGACUUUGACUUGUGUAACACAUGUUACCAUAAAGGAGGCCAUAACCAUAAAAUGGAUCGUCUUGGCUUCGAUCUGGACGAUGGGUCAUCAGGCAAUGGCAAGCAAGAUACUUAGGAAAACUUCCAUCAGUCCGUACAGCUGUGUAUUCAGUCACUGAUGCACGCCUGUGGGUGCAAGGAUGCUAACUGCAGACUUCCUAGCAGUCACAAAAUGAAACAAGACAAUUAAUUUCUCAUUUAGUUAGAUUGAGUUACCUACAUGUAUGUUAAAGUUUCUUUGCUUGAAACAUUCAGUUAUCCCCAAGUUGAACUUGGAUAGUUUUGGUGACUUUGUUGUGUUAUAGAAAGUUUAAGUGUUCCCGUAUCUUGACAUUUUUGUUGUAUUUUGUCUACAAAAAAAUGGUAAUUUCAAUUCAGAAUUUCAUAUUUUCCUGUCAUCAGAUAAUUGAUUGAUAUGUGUGUUUAAAGUUGACUGGUUGGAUCUUUUUCUGAUUAUUUAUCAUAUAGAGGUUAAUACACGGCCUAGCCGGGCCGUUGAGUGAAAUAUGACCCGAGUGAGUCAUAAUGGCCCUAGACAUAGUCGAGGGACAUUAUGAGCACGAGGGCCAAUUUUCAGUCAAAGGCCCGGCUACGCCGUGUAAUAACCUCUUUAAUACAUGUUUGUUUUUCUUAUUUUGCAAGUUUAAAGUUUGUUUUUAGCUCACCUGAGCAUGAAGUGCUCAAGGUGAGCUAUUGUGAUUGCCCUAUAUCUGUCGUCCCUCUUCAACAAUUUGACUGUUUACACUCUAGAGGUCACAAUUUGGGCACAAUCUUAAUGAAACUUGGUCAGAAUGUUACCCACAAUAAAAUCUUGGACGAGUUCGAUAUUGGGUCAUCUGGGGUUAAAAACUAGGUCACCAGGUCAAAUUGAAGGAAAAGCUUGUUAACACUCUAGAGGUCACAUUUAUGAAUGUAUCUUCAUGAAAGUUGGUCAGAAUGUUUAUAUUAAUAAUCUUCAAGUCAAGUUUAAAUCUGGGUCAUGUACGGUCAAAAACUAUGUUACCAGGUCAAAUCAUAGGAAAAGCUUGUUAGCACUCUAGAGGUCACAUUUAUGACUGUAUGUUCAUGAAACUUAGUCAGAAUGUAUAUAUUGAUUAGCUCUAGGCCAAGUUCGAAUCUUGGUCAUGUGCGGUCAAAAACUAGAUCACCAGGUCAAAUUUAAGGAAAAGCUUGCUAAAAAUCUAGAGGUCACAUUUAUAAAUGUUUUUUCAUGAAAGUUGGUCAGAAUGUUUAUAUUAAUAAUCUCUAAGUCAGGUUCAAAUCUGGGUCAUGUGCGGUCAAAAACUAGGUCAUUAGGUCAUUAUAUUUAAAUAUAUAUUGAUUAGCUCUAGGUCAUGUUCGAAUCUUGGUCAUGUGUGGUCAAUAACUAGGUCACCAGGUCAAAUCAGGUCAAAUUGAAGGAAAAGUUUGUUUACACAUUUACAGGUCACAUUUAUAACUGUAUCUUCAUAAAAAUUGGUCAGAAUGUUCAUAAUAAUAAUUUCUAAGUCAAGUUUAAAUCUUGGUCAUAUGCGGUCAAAAACACCUCAUUAGGUCAUUAGGUCAAAUAAUAGGAAAAGCUUGUUAGCACUCUAGAGGUCACAUGUAUGACUGUAUGUUCAUGAAACUUAGUCAGAAUGUUUAUAUGGAUUAGCUCUAGGCCAAGUUCGAAUUUGGGUCAUGUGCGGUCAAAAACUAGGUCACCAGGUCAAAUAAUAGGAAAAGCAUGUUAACACUCUAGAGGUCACAUUUAUGACCAUAUGUUCAUGAAACUUAAUCAGAAUGAUAUUCUUGAUGAUCUUUAGGUAGAGUUUGAAACUGGGUAAUCAGAGGUAAAAACCAGACCACUAGGGUCAAAUUAAUAAAAUGCUUUGUAAACACUG
Long non-coding RNA from Mya arenaria, 1973 nucleotides. RefSeq lists it as uncharacterized. The transcript is spliced from 2 exons. NCBI's taxonomy places the organism in Eukaryota, Metazoa, Mollusca, Bivalvia, Myida, Myidae. The record is from RefSeq and is a predicted model, not a curated record.